ACCAUCUUUCGGUUCCUAUCGGCGCUGGAAAUCUUCGAAAAAAACACUUUAAUUUGAAUAAAGUAUUUUAUUAGAAUAUGAGAAAAAUCUAAUACUACAUGUAGUAAUUGAUGGAUUGAUAGAUUUACUUUAUUGAUCCCAAACUUGGAAAUUACUGUUUCAACCGCAGCAAAUGUAAAAAAACAACAACUAAGAACUGUACAACUAACAAAUGUACAUACUAAAAAAUAAAUAACUUUAAUCUAAUUUUAAAGUUUAGGAUGUUCUUUAGGAUGUAGUAUCUGCUAAUGUCAGACAAUCUGCUGCCUUAAUCUUUUAACAAGAAGGUUAAGCUCUUUGUAAGUCCUGCAGGUCACAGUUCACUGCCAGCUGUUUCCACACUAAAGAUGAUAACUCACACACUGAAUGUAUGCAGCUAUUCCCCCAGCCCGAGACACAGAAGACGCAGCAGGUCCCGCAGCAGGAGCCGCUCUCGUUCCCGAAGCCGAUCCCGCUACAGCAGAUCCAGGUCCCGGUCCUACUCCCGAUCCAAGUCUCACUCUCCCAGGACUAAGAAGGCCAAGGCCAAGUCCCAGUCUCGCUCCAGAUCUAGAUCCAGGUCCAAGUCCAGGUCCAGAAGCCGCACCCCUUCCAGAGGGUCCAGGUCGAGAUCUAAAAGCCAGCCCAAGUCGGCAGCAGAAAAUGGAGGCGAAUCCCCGUAGAGCUCAGAAUCAGUUUUCAGGUGAACACCGAAGCAUCAAGUCCACGACUGAACCAACACGAGCGACAGUGUCCUGCUGUUUAAGGUUAUUAUUGUGUCUUCCAUGCUUUAGUUUGUUUUAUUCAUUUGGCCACAAAAAAGGCUUUGUCACUUCAAUGAUGUGCUGUAAUUUUUUUCAAUUAUUUUCAUGAUUUUUAAUAAUCUGCUUCAAUAUGGAGAGAAACUAAAGUUCUGACCUGGUUUUGUAACGAUGACACGGGAUAGUACAUAAAGUUUCUUCAUGUCCUUAACCCCACAUGGGCCUGUUUUGGAAGUUUUCAUCUCUCCUGGCUUUGAUAAACCUGGAUCCUGUGGCAGAAAUAUGGUUACCAGCUGACUCAAUGCAGCAAUCAUUACAUUCGCAGGUUUUUGGAGGGCAGAGAUGACACUAAUGUGUUAAAAUUUCUGCAACUAAGUGACUGAUCUGUUGACCAUUUAUUAAUUGUUAAAUCAUUUUAUAAAGUUUUUUAUUACUCAAAUGAACCUUGUUUUUUUUAAACAAACAUCAAAAUAAUACAUUUUACUAAAAUAUAAGACAAAGGAAAGCAGGAAAUCCUCAAAUUUGAGAAGCUGAAAAUAUAUUUUUGCUUGAGAAAUUACUGAAAUUAUUAUUUGAUCAUCAAAAAUAUUUCCAUGCAAUCUAAUGAUCGGUUAUUGCAGCUUUGGUUAACCUCACUUUGUGACACGGGUCUGAGGUUUCAACGACAGGACAGUGGGAGAUGUCUGAAGAAGCCUGUUUUCUACUUUUUAAUUUCCUGUUCAGCAAGAGAUGAGUCCAAAAACAACCGAUCCUCUCCAAACUUUAAACUUUUCAUAUUUCAAGGUCUCGGCUUCCUUCCAAUGUUUAAUUUCUGCAGCUCAGGGUGUCUUUGUUAGACAGCAGAUCAUUCAGCUCCUGUGAUAAAUGUGUCGGUGUAAUUACAGUAAAGAGAGACUGAAAGAUGUAAAGUCUCUGUCUGCAGGUUGCUUCAGGUCAGUGAAACAGAUUUUAAGGUUAAAUCUUUGUUGAAACUUACAGGACAUGGUUUACUGGACUCUAGACACAGCGUCUCUGUUCUUUUUAUUUUUAUUUUUAAAUCCUAACCCUGCUUGUAUGUUUGUUUUGUGCACUAGGCGCAGUUGUGUAGCAGUUGAGUAUUGCUGGUUAGCUGUUAAGGUGGCGUGUUGCUCUGCUGAGUGCUGAUGUAUCCAGUAUUCUCCAGAAUGCUCCUGUGACUACCAGUGCUACGGUUUCUGCAGGCUCACUCUUUGUAAGAUGAAAUGUUCUUUCCCAUACAGUCAUGAUGACAAAUGUGACUUUCAUUAAAGAUUUGGUGUUUUGUCUAAAA
Centropristis striata (black sea bass) is the source of this 2067-nucleotide long non-coding RNA. RefSeq lists it as uncharacterized. The record is from RefSeq and is a predicted model, not a curated record. NCBI's taxonomy places the organism in Eukaryota, Metazoa, Chordata, Actinopteri, Perciformes, Serranidae. The transcript is spliced from 2 exons.